UACGUAGGGGGCGAGCGUUGUCCGGAGUUACUGGGCGUAAAGCGCACGCAGGCGGUCUGUUAAGUUUGGAGUGACAGUUGGUGGCUUAACUGCCAAAGUGCUUCGAAAACUGACAGACUUGAGGGCUUCAGAGGGACACGGAAUUCCGGGUGGAGUGGUGAAAUGCGUAGAGAUCCGGAGGAACACCAAAGGCGAAGGCAGUGUCCUGGGGAGUACCUGACGCUAAGGUGCGAAAGCCAGGGGAGCGAUCGGG
Molecule: ribosomal RNA, 253 nt
Filed under: uncultured bacterium
Lineage: Bacteria
Description: partial 16S ribosomal RNA
Rfam family: Bacterial small subunit ribosomal RNA
Source: RNAcentral